GAUGAAGACCGUAGCGAAAUGCGAUAAGUAAUGUGAAUUGCAGAAUUCCGUGAAUCAUCGAAUCUUUGAACGCACAUUGCGCCCCUUGGUAUUCCGAGGGGCAUGCCUGUUCGAGCGUCAUUAUAACCCCUCAAGCUCAGCUUGGUGUUGGGGCCUGCUGCACUGGCAGCCCUUAAAAUCAGUGGCGGCGCCAUCUGGCUCUAAGCGUAGUAAUUCUUCUCGCUAUGGAGUCCUGGUGGAUGCUUGCCAUCAACCCCCAAUUUUUCUAUGGUUGACCUCGGAUCAGGUAGGGAUACCCGCUGAACUUAAGCAUAUCAAUAAGCGGAGGA
This 329-nucleotide unclassified non-coding RNA is filed under the name soil metagenome. RNAcentral describes it as "partial contains 5.8S ribosomal RNA, internal transcribed spacer 2, and large subunit ribosomal RNA". The stretch from base 1 to 120 matches the Rfam family "5.8S ribosomal RNA", at positions 35 to 154 of the family's 154-position model. The record is from RNAcentral.